RNAcentral lists this ribosomal RNA (404 nucleotides) under uncultured bacterium. Its description in RNAcentral is "partial 16S ribosomal RNA". It matches the Rfam family "Bacterial small subunit ribosomal RNA", at positions 29 to 526 of the family's 1533-position model. The record is from RNAcentral.
AUUGAACGCUGGCGGCAGGCCUAACACAUGCAAGUCGAGCGCGCGGCGGACGGGUGAGUCAUGCCUGGGAAUUGCCCAGUCGAGGGGGAUAACAGUUGGAAACGACUGCUAAUACCGCAUACGAUUGGAUUGCCCAGGUGGGAUUAGCUAGUUGGUGAGGUAAUGGCAGACCAAGGCGACGAUCCCUAGCUGGUCUGAGAGGAUGAUAAGCAAAACGUGAACUGAGAAACGGUCAAGACUCCUAAGUGAGGCAGAAGUGGGGAAGAGUGCACAAGGGGGGAAACACUGAUGGAGCCAUUACGCGUGUGUGAAGAAGGCCGGCGGGUUGUAAAGCACUUUCAGCGAGGAGGCGUUACUCGCAGAAGAAGCACCGGCGAACUCCGUGCCAGCCGCCGCGGUAAUAC